AAGAUUAAGCCAUGCAUGUCUAAGUAUAAGCAAUCUAUACAGUGAAACUGCGAAUGGCUCAUUAAAUCAGUUAUCGUUUAUUUGAUAGUACCUUACUACUUGGAUAACCGUGGUAAUUCUAGAGCUAAUACAUGCUAAAAAUCCCGACCUCCGGAAGGGAUGUAUUUAUUAGAUAAAAACCAAUGCCUUCGGGCUUGUUGGUGAUUCAUGAUAACUAAACGAAUCGCAU
RNAcentral lists this ribosomal RNA (229 nucleotides) under uncultured fungus. RNAcentral describes it as "partial 18S ribosomal RNA". It matches the Rfam family "Eukaryotic small subunit ribosomal RNA", at positions 40 to 274 of the family's 1831-position model. Lineage: Eukaryota; Fungi. The record is from RNAcentral.